RNAcentral lists this transfer RNA (68 nucleotides) under Inopinoteuthis magna. RNAcentral's name for it is "Cirrothauma magna tRNA-Val". The record is from RNAcentral. Lineage: Eukaryota; Metazoa; Mollusca; Cephalopoda; Octopoda; Cirroteuthidae.
CGAGGGUUAGCAUAUUUAAUGUGUUUCAUUUACAUUGAGAAGAUAAUUAAUUAAUUAAUUAUCCUUGA